This 484-nucleotide ribosomal RNA is filed under the name uncultured bacterium. Its description in RNAcentral is "partial 16S ribosomal RNA". It matches the Rfam family "Bacterial small subunit ribosomal RNA", at positions 30 to 507 of the family's 1533-position model. The record is from RNAcentral.
AUUGAACGCUGGCGGCAGGCCUAACACAUGCAAGUCGAGCGGAUGAAGGGAGCUUGCUCCUGGAUUCAGCGGCGGACGGGUGAGUAAUGCCUAGGAAUCUGCCUGGUAGUGGGGGAUAACGUCCGGAGACGGGCGCUAAUACCGCAUACGUCCUGAGGGAGAAAAUGGGGGAUCUUCGGACCUCACGCUAUCAGAUGAGCCUAGGUCGGAUUAGCUAGUUGGUGGGGUAAAGGCCUACCAAGGCGACGAUCCGUAACUGGUCUGAGAGGAUGAUCAGUCACACUGGAACUGAGACACGGUCCAGACUCCUACGGGAGGCAGCAGUGGGGAAUAUUGGACAAUGGGCGAAAGCCUGAUCCAGCCAUGCCGCGUGUGUGAAGAAGGUCUUCGGAUUGUAAAGCACUUUAAGUUGGGAGGAAGGGCAGUAAGUUAAUACCUUGCUGUUUUGACGUUACCAACAGAAUAAGCACCGGCUAACUUCGUG